GUGAAAAUUUAACGGCCGCAGUACCCUGACUGUGCUAAGGUAGCGUAAUCAGUUGGCUUUUAAAUGAAGUCGAGAAUGAAUGGGUCUACGGGAAUAAGCUGUCUCCUUUUGUACUCGUGAACUUAUUUAGAAGGUGAAAAUCCCUUUACGUAGAAAAAAGACGAGAAGACCCUUAGAGUUUUAAUAAAAAUCACAUGUUGUGACAUUUUUUUGCUGGGGCGGCAAGGAGCACAAUUAAACUCUCCUGUAUAGAUUUUGAGGACGAAACUUAUAAGAAUCAUUAAACUACCUUAGGGAUAACAGCAUAAUUAAUUUUUAGUUUGUGACCUCGAUGUUGGACUAGGAAUAACUUUUGGUUAGAAGCCAAAAGUACCGUUCUGUUCGAACAAU
This 390-nucleotide ribosomal RNA is filed under the name Paromoionchis boholensis. Its description in RNAcentral is "partial 16S ribosomal RNA". It matches the Rfam family "Archaeal large subunit ribosomal RNA", at positions 1989 to 2658 of the family's 2987-position model. The record is from RNAcentral. Lineage: Eukaryota; Metazoa; Mollusca; Gastropoda; Systellommatophora; Onchidiidae.